RNAcentral lists this ribosomal RNA (498 nucleotides) under uncultured bacterium. RNAcentral's name for it is "partial 16S ribosomal RNA". It matches the Rfam family "Bacterial small subunit ribosomal RNA", at positions 30 to 523 of the family's 1533-position model. The record is from RNAcentral.
AUUGAACGCUGGCGGCAUGCCUUACACAUGCAAGUCGAACGGUAACAGGUCUUCGGAUGCUGACGAGUGGCGAACGGGUGAGUAAUACAUCGGAACGUGCCCGAUCGUGGGGGAUAACGAAGCGAAAGCUUUGCUAAUACCGCAUACGAUCUACGGAUGAAAGCAGGGGACCGCAAGGCCUUGCGCGAACGGAGCGGCCGAUGGCAGAUGAGGUAGUUGGUGGGAUAAAAGCUUACCAAGCCGACGAUCUGUAGCUGGUCUGAGAGGCCGACCAGCCACACUGGGACUGAGACACGGCCCAGACUCCUACGGGAGGCAGCAGUGGGGAAUUUUGGACAAUGGGCGAAAGCCUGAUCCAGCCAUGCCGCGUGCAGGAUGAAGGCCUUCGGGUUGUAAACUGCUUUUGUACGGAACGAAAAGACUCUGGUUAAUACCUGGGGUCCAUGACGGUACCGUAAGAAUAAGCACCGGCUAACUACGUGCCAGCCGCCGCCGUAA